RNAcentral lists this ribosomal RNA (484 nucleotides) under uncultured bacterium. RNAcentral's name for it is "partial 16S ribosomal RNA". It matches the Rfam family "Bacterial small subunit ribosomal RNA", at positions 30 to 507 of the family's 1533-position model. The record is from RNAcentral.
AUUGAACGCUGGCGGCAUGCCUUACACAUGCAAGUCGAGCGGCAGUGCGGACUUCGGUCUGGCGGCGAGUGGCGAACGGGUGAGUAAUACCUCGGAACGUCCCUUGUCGUGGGGGAUAACUUGUCGAAAGAUUAGCUAAUACCGCAUACGUCCUGAGGGUGAACGUGGGGGACCGAAAGGCCUCACGCAUCAGGAUGGGCCGAUGUCUGAUUAGCUAGUUGGUGGGGUAAAGGCCCACCAAGGCGACGAUCAGUAGCUGGUCUGAGAGGACGAUCAGCCACACUGGGACUGAGACACGGCCCAGACUCCUACGGGAGGCAGCAGUGGGGAAUGUUGGACAAUGGGGGCAACCCUGAUCCAGCAAUGCCGCGUGUGUGAAGAAGGCCUUCGGGUUGUAAAGCACUUUUGUUUGGGAAGAAAGCGAGCUGGUUAAUACCUGGCGUGGAUGACGGUACCAGAAGAAUAAGCACCGGCUAACUACGUG